RNAcentral lists this ribosomal RNA (500 nucleotides) under uncultured bacterium. Its description in RNAcentral is "partial 16S ribosomal RNA". It matches the Rfam family "Bacterial small subunit ribosomal RNA", at positions 30 to 523 of the family's 1533-position model. The record is from RNAcentral.
AUUGAACGCUGGCGGCAGGCCUAGCACAUGCAAGUCGAGCGGAUGAGGGUAGCUUGCUACCUGAUUCAGCGGCGGACGGGUGAGUAAUGCCUAGGAAUCUGCCCGAUAGUGGGGGACAACGUUUCGAAAGGAACGCUAAUACCGCAUACGUCCUACGGGAGAAAGUGGGGGAUCUUCGGACCUCACGCUAUCGGAUGAGCCUAGGUCGGAUUAGCUGGUUGGUGAGGUAAUGGCUCACCAAGGCUACGAUCCGUAACUGGUCUGAGAGGAUGAUGAGUCACACUGGAACUGAGAAACGGUCCAGACUCCUACGGGAGGCAGCAGUGGGGAAUAUUGGACAAUGGGGGAAAGCCUGAUCCAGCAAUGCCGCGUGUGUGAAGAAGGUCUUCGGAUUGUAAAGCACUUUAAGUUGGGAGGAAGGGCUGUAGGCUAAUAUCCUGCAGUUUUGACGUUACCAACAGAAUAAGCACCGGCUAACUUCGUGCCAGCCGCCGCCGUAA